Molecule: small nuclear RNA, 144 nt
Filed under: Rhinopithecus roxellana (golden snub-nosed monkey)
Lineage: Eukaryota; Metazoa; Chordata; Mammalia; Primates; Cercopithecidae
Description: U1 spliceosomal RNA (ENSRROG00000023126.1)
Rfam family: U1 spliceosomal RNA
About the family: U1 is a small nuclear RNA (snRNA) component of the spliceosome (involved in pre-mRNA splicing). Its 5' end forms complementary base pairs with the 5' splice junction, thus defining the 5' donor site of an intron.
Source: RNAcentral
AUACUUACCUGGCAGGAGAGAUACCAUGAUCACCAAGGUGGUUUUCCCAGGGCGAGGCUUAUACAUUGCACUCCGGAUGUGCUGACCCCUGCGAUUUCCCCAAAUGUGGGAAACUCGACUGCAUAAUUUGUGGAAAAAAAAAUA